Molecule: long non-coding RNA, 589 nt
Filed under: Homo sapiens (human)
Lineage: Eukaryota; Metazoa; Chordata; Mammalia; Primates; Hominidae
Description: HSALNT0230709
Source: RNAcentral
CGGAGAGUGGCUGACAGGCGGCAGAUGGCACACGCUGGGGGAGGGGGACGAUUGGCCUCGGCUCUGGGGUGCCCCCGCCGCGGGCUGCCUCUGCUAGAGGGGCCUGCUGAAGACUGAGGACGGAGGUGGGGGCAACAGGAUGGGGAGCCCGCAAUAGCCCAUCCUGACCUAAUCCGAAAGGACGAGAUCCUGGAGCCGCUCACAAAGUUUUCCGGGCCCCCUCCCACGCGUCGCCUGCACGUAUGUCCGUUUCCCGACGCUCCGCCCUCCCCCGCCAAGUUCGGCGUCUCCCAGCUCAGCGGCAGUCAGGGUGCAGAGGGAGCCCGACCUUGUCCCCGCCUCGGCCCGUCCCGCUUCUUCUGAAGCUUGUUUCAUUUUUAACUCCUUCCAGAAAAAUGUUGUUUUAAGGAAAAUCUCAAAGGAACAAAAAGCCAAUAGUGCCUUCCUUAUUUGCAAUCCCCACCCACCUCUGAGCUCGGACUGCAAGGGCCUCAAGGGACACCAGGUGACACCUGGGCCUUGCUUCUCACGGGUGACCUUGGACCAGAAAGGGUCAUUUUCAGUAAUGGGUAUGGCUGAGACUCUGCUG